Molecule: ribosomal RNA, 875 nt
Filed under: uncultured bacterium
Lineage: Bacteria
Description: bacterial SSU rRNA
Rfam family: Bacterial small subunit ribosomal RNA
Source: RNAcentral
AGCGGCGAACGGGUGAGUAACACGUAGGUAAUCUACCUCUAAGAUGGGGACAACUUCGCGAAAGUGGAGCUAAUACCGAAUAUGACCACGAUUCCUCUGGGGAUUGUGGUAAAAGAUGGCCUCUCCUUGGAAGCUAUCACUUAGAGAUGAGCCUGCGCAGCAUUAGCUUGUUGGUAGGGUAACGGCCUACCAAGGCUGCGAUGUUUAGCUGAUCUGAGAGGAUGAUCAGCCACACUGGAACUGAAACACGGUCCAGACUCCUACGGGAGGCAGCAGUGGGGAAUAUUGCGCAAUGGGGGAAACCCUGACGCAGCAACGCCGUGUGAGUGACGAAGGCUUUCGGGUCGUAAAGCUCUGUCAGAAGGGACGAAACUUCUAAUUGCUAAUAUCGUUAGAAUUGACGGUACCUUCAGAGGAAGCACCGGCUAACUCCGUGCCAGCAGCCGCGGUAAUACGGAGGGUGCAAGCGUUGUUCGGAAUUACUGGGCGUAAAGAGCGCGUAGGCGGCCUUUUAUGUCAGGUGUGAAAGCCCUCGGCCCAACCGAGGAAGUGCGCCUGAAACUGAGAGGCUUGAGUACGAGAGGAGAGGACGGAAUUCCCAGUGUAGAGGUGAAAUUCGUAGAUAUUGGGAAGAACACCGGUGGCGAAAGCGGUCCUCUAGAUCGAUACUGACGCUGAGGCGCGAAAGCGUGGGGAGCGAACAGGAUUAGAUACCCUGGUAGUCCACGCCGUAAACGAUGGAUAUUAGUGGUUGGUGGGGUCUUAUCACUCGCAGUGCCGACGCUAACGAAUUAAAUAUCCCGCCCUGGGGAGUACGGCCGCAAGGUUAAAACUCAAGGAAUUGACGGGGGCCCGCACAAGCGGUGGAGCAUGUG